RNAcentral lists this ribosomal RNA (339 nucleotides) under uncultured Pseudomonadota bacterium. Its description in RNAcentral is "bacterial SSU rRNA". It matches the Rfam family "Bacterial small subunit ribosomal RNA", at positions 29 to 351 of the family's 1533-position model. The record is from RNAcentral. Lineage: Bacteria; Pseudomonadati; Pseudomonadota.
AACGAACGCUGGCGGCGUGCCUAACACAUGCAAGUCGAGCGCGAAAGUCCCCUCGGGGGCAAGUAGAGCGGCAGACGGGUGAGUAAUACAUAGGUAAUCUACCCCCGAGAUCGGGAUAACCCUGCGAAAGUGGGGCUAAUACCGGGUAAGACCACGCAGCAAAAGUUGUGUGGUAAAAGGUGGCUUGUAUUUAUACUAGCUAUCACUUGAGGAUGAGCCUUUUGGCCUAUCAGCUUGUUGGUAAGGUAAAGCUUACCAAGGCUAUGACGGGUAGCUGGUCUGAGAGGAUGAUCAGCCACACUGGGACUGAGACACGGCCCAGACUCCUACGGGAGGCUG